CGGCCUCAAGUCUUCAACUGGUCCAAGACAAGGCCCGCGGUUAAUAACGUAAGUUGCCAAAGCGUGGUCCUGGAAUUAUCGGCCGUAAGCCGAGGCGCCAGGCGGUUUUUUAAGGUCUGAUGUGAAAAGCUUUCGGCUCAACCGAAGGAAGUUGCCAUCGGGAAACUUGGGAAACUUGAGUGCAGAAGAGGACAGUUGAACUUCCAUGUGUAGCGGUGAAAUUGCGUAGAUAUAUGGAAGAACACCAGUUGCGAAGGGCGGCUGUCUGGUCUGUAACUGACGCUGAGGCUCGAAAAGUAUGGGUAGCAAAACAGGAUUAGAUACCCUGGUAGUCCAUACCCGUAAACGAUGAAUGCUAAGUGUUGGAGGGUUUCCGCCCUUCAGUGCUGCAGCUAACGCAUUAAGCAUUCCGCCUGGGGAGUACGGCCGCAAGGCUGAAACUCAAAGGAAUUGACGGGGGCCCGCACAAGCGGUGGAGCAUGUGGUUUAAUUCGAAGCUACGCGAAGAACCUUACCAGGUCUUGACAUACUAUGCAAAUCUAAGAGAUUAGACGUUCCCUUCGGGGACAUGGAUACAGGUGGUGCAUGGUUGUCGUCAGCUCGUGUCGUGAGAUGUUGGGUUAAGUCCCGCAACGAGCGCAACCCUUAUUAUCAGUUGCCAGCAUUGAGUUGGGCACUCUGGUGAGACUGCCGGUGACAAACCGGAGGAAGGUGGGGAUGACGUCAAAUCAUCAUGCCCCUUAUGACCUGGGCUACACACGUGCUACAAUGGAUGGUACAACGAGUUGCGAACUCGCGAGAGUAAGCUAAUCUCUUAAAGCCAUUCUCAGUUCGGAUUGUAGGCUGCAACUCGCCUACAUGAAGUCGGAAUCGCUAGUAAUCGCGGAUCAGCAUGCCGCGGUGAAUACGUUCCCGGGCCUUGUACACACCCCCGUCACACCAUGAGAGUUGUUACAUCUCAAAGCCGGGGGGUCCCACUGGAAACCCCCCCCCUUAAGGGAUGAA
This 1005-nucleotide ribosomal RNA is filed under the name Lactobacillus sp. RNAcentral describes it as "bacterial SSU rRNA". It matches the Rfam family "Bacterial small subunit ribosomal RNA". The record is from RNAcentral. Lineage: Bacteria; Bacillati; Bacillota; Bacilli; Lactobacillales; Lactobacillaceae.